AAUGAACGCUGGUGGCAUGCUUUAUACAUGCAAGUCGAGCGAAGGCUGGAUUUGUAGCAGAGAUGAUUGAUUUUCACUUUGUGGAGAUCAUGAGUUUCUGUUAUUGCCGGUCUUAGCGGCGAACGGGUGAGUAACGCGUGAAUAAUCUGCCCUUGAAAUCGGGAUACCAUUUCGAAAGGAAUGCUAAUACCGAAUAACGUUACGAAACACAGGUUUCAUAACCGAAGUUGAGUCUUUGGAUUCUUCGUUCAAGGAUGAGUUCGCGUCCUAUUAGCUAGUUGGUGAGGUAAAGGCUUACCAAGGCUAUGAUGGGUAGCCGGCCUGAGAGGGCGUACGGCCACAUUGGGACUGAGACACGGCCCAGACUCCUACGGGAGGCAGCAGUAGGGAAUCUUCCGCAAUGGGCGAAAGCCUGACGGAGCGAUGCCACGUGGAUGAUGGAGGCCCUCGGGUCGUAAAAUCCUGUCAGUGGGGACGAUGGUUAAUCUUCGGAUUGAUUGACGGUACCUGCAGAGGAAGCUCCGGCAAACUACGUGCCAGCAGCCGCGGUAAUACGUAGGGAGCAAGCGUUGUUCGGAUUUACUGGGCGUAAAGAGUGCGUAGGUGGCUAUAUAAGUCAAGGGUGAAAUCUCUACUUUCAAGGUAGAAACUGCCUUUGAUACUGUAUAGCUAGAGGACAAGAGGGGGAAACGGAAUUCUGGGAGUAGCGGUGAAAUGCGUAGAUAUCCAGGGGAACGCCAGUAGCGAAGGCGGUUUCCUGGCUUGUUUCUGACACUGAGGCACUAAAGCUAGGGGAGCGAUCGGGAUUAGAGACCCCGGUAGUCCUAGCCCUAAACGAUGGGUACUAAGUGUGGGGGGAGCAUUACCCUCUGUGCUGAAGCUAACGCGUUAAGUACCCCGCCUGGGGAGUACGGUCGCAAGGCUGAAACUCAAAAGAAUUGACGGGGGGCUGAACAAGCAGUGGAGCACGUGGUUUAAUUCGACGCAAAGCGAAGAACCUUACCAAGGCUUGACAUGACGGAAGUAGCAACCUGAAAGGGAAGCCACCUGUUGAGUCAGGAGCCGUCACAGGUGCUGCAUGGCUGUCGUCAGCUCGUGCCGUGAGGUGUUGGGUUAAGUCCCGCAACGAGCGCAACCCUCGUCGCUAGUUAUUUUCUCUAGCGAGACUGCCCUACAAAAUGGGGAGGAAGGUGGGGAUGACGUCAAGUCAGCAUGGCCCUUACGCCUUGGGCUACACACACGCUACAAUGGGUGGUACAAUAGGUUGCAAUGGAGCGAUCCGGAGCCAAUCCAAAAAACCAUCCUCAGUUCAGAUUGCAGGCUGAAACUCGCCUGCAUGAAGGUGGAGUUGCUAGUAACCGCAGGUCAGCAUACUGCGGUGAAUACGUUCUCGGGCCUUGUACACACCGCCCGUCACGUCAUGAAAGUCGGUAACACUUGAAGUCGAUGGGCUAACCCUUCGGGGAGGCAGUCGCCGAGGGUGGGGCUGAUAAUUGGGACG
Molecule: ribosomal RNA, 1501 nt
Filed under: uncultured bacterium
Lineage: Bacteria
Description: partial 16S ribosomal RNA
Rfam family: Bacterial small subunit ribosomal RNA
Source: RNAcentral